This 348-nucleotide unclassified non-coding RNA is filed under the name soil metagenome. RNAcentral describes it as "partial contains 5.8S ribosomal RNA, internal transcribed spacer 2, and large subunit ribosomal RNA". The stretch from base 1 to 120 matches the Rfam family "5.8S ribosomal RNA", at positions 35 to 154 of the family's 154-position model. The record is from RNAcentral.
GAUGAAGAACGUAGCGAAAUGCGAUAAGUAAUGUGAAUUGCAGAAUUCCGUGAAUCAUCGAAUCUUUGAACGCAUAUUGCGCCCUCUGGCAUUCUGGCGGGCAUGCCUGUCUGAGCGUCAUUUCAACCCUCAUGCCCCUAGGGCGUGGUGUUGGGGAUCGGCCAAAGCCCGCGAGGGACGGCCGGCCCCUAAAUCUAGUGGCGGACCCGUCGUGGCCUCCUCUGCGAAGUAGUGAUAUUCCGCAUCGGAGAGCGAUGAGCCCCUGCCGUUAAACCCCCAACUUUCCAAGGUUGACCUCAGAUCAGGUAGGAAUACCCGCUGAACUUAAGCAUAUCAAUAAGCGGAGGA